Molecule: ribosomal RNA, 422 nt
Filed under: uncultured bacterium
Lineage: Bacteria
Description: bacterial SSU rRNA
Rfam family: Bacterial small subunit ribosomal RNA
Source: RNAcentral
UGAGGAAUAUUGGUCAAUGGGGGCAACCCUGAACCAGCCAAGUCGCGUGAAGGAUGAAGGUCUUAUGGAUUGUAAACUUCUUUUAUACGGGAAUAAAGUGGGGGACGUGUCCCCCUUUGCAUGUACCGUAUGAAUAAGGAUCGGCUAACUCCGUGCCAGCAGCCGCGGUAAUACGGAGGAUCCGAGCGUUAUCCGGAUUUAUUGGGUUUAAAGGGUGCGCAGGCGGGAUGUUAAGUCGGCGGUGAAAUUUUGCAGCUCAACUGUAAAAGUGCCUUCGAUACUGGCCUCCUUGAGUGUGGAUGAAGUAGGCGGAAUUUGUGGUGUAGCGGUGAAAUGCUUAGAUAUCACGAGGAACUCCGAUUGCGCAGGCAGCUUACUAAACCACAACUGACGCUCAUGCACGAAGGCGUGGGGAUCAAACA